Oncorhynchus keta (chum salmon) is the source of this 954-nucleotide long non-coding RNA. RefSeq lists it as uncharacterized. The record is from RefSeq and is a predicted model, not a curated record. The transcript is spliced from 5 exons. NCBI's taxonomy places the organism in Eukaryota, Metazoa, Chordata, Actinopteri, Salmoniformes, Salmonidae.
UAUAGAACUGCUGUUUGAGUCCUCAGUCAUGGACUUAAUGAUACACCCCCACCAGGUCUGUCAUGGUGAUAUAAUCACACUGUUAAUCAGACCCAUGGGCCGUGCCCGUCAGACGAGGGUAAAGUACUGUAGGUCUUUAUUACACACACACCACUAGCCAGGACAAACCAGAGAAAACACUAGUCUCUCUCUCUCACACUGUUAAUCAGACCCAUGGGCCGUGCCCGUCAGACGGACAGAGGGUAAAGUACUGUAGGUCUUUAUUACACACACACCACUAGCCAGGACAAACCAGAGAAAACACUAGUCUCUCUCUCUCACACUGUUAAUCAGACCCAUGGGCCGUGCCCGUCAGACGGACAGAGGGUAAAGUACUGUAGGUCUUUAUUACACACACACCACUAGCCAGGACAAACCAGAGAAAACACUAGUCUCUCUCUCUCACACUGUUAAUCAGACCCAUGGGCCGUGCCCGUCAGACGGACAGAGGGUAAAGUACUGUAGGUCUUUAUUACACACACACCACUAGCCAGGACAAACCAGAGAAAACACUAGUCUCUCUCUCUCACACUGUUAAUCAGACCCAUGGGCCGUGCCCGUCAGACGGACAGAGGGUAAAGUACUGUAGGUCUUUAUUACACACACACCACUAGCCAGGACAAACCAGAGAAAACACUAGUCUCUCUCUCUCACACUGUUAAUCAGACCCAUGGGCCGUGCCCGUCAGACGGACAGAGGGUAAAGUACUGUAGGUCUUUAUUACACACACACCACUAGCCAGGACAAACCAGAGAAAACACUAGUCUCUCUCUCUCACACUGUUAAUCAGACCCAUGGGCCGUGCCCGUCAGACGGACAGAGGGUAAAGUACUGUAGGUCUUUAUUACACACACACCACUAGCCAGGACAAACCAGAGAAAACACUAGUCUCUCUCUCUCACACUGUUAAUCAGA